RNAcentral lists this ribosomal RNA (422 nucleotides) under uncultured Pedobacter sp. Its description in RNAcentral is "bacterial SSU rRNA". It matches the Rfam family "Bacterial small subunit ribosomal RNA", at positions 355 to 774 of the family's 1533-position model. Lineage: Bacteria; Pseudomonadati; Bacteroidota; Sphingobacteriia; Sphingobacteriales; Sphingobacteriaceae. The record is from RNAcentral.
UAAGGAAUAUUGGUCAAUGGAGGGAACUCUGAACCAGCCAUGCCGCGUGCAGGAAGACAGCCCUCUGGGUCGUAAACUGCUUUUAUUCGGGAAUAAACCUACUUACGUGUAAGUAGCUGAAUGUACCGAAGGAAUAAGGAUCGGCUAACUCCGUGCCAGCAGCCGCGGUAAUACGGAGGAUCCAAGCGUUAUCCGGAUUUAUUGGGUUUAAAGGGUGCGUAGGCGGCUUAUUAAGUCAGGGGUGAAAGACGGUGGCUCAACCAUCGCAGUGCCCUUGAUACUGAAGAGCUUGAAUAAACUAGAGGUAGGCGGAAUGUGACAAGUAGCGGUGAAAUGCAUAGAUAUGUCACAGAACACCAAUUGCGAAGGCAGCUUACUAUGGUUUAAUUGACGCUGAGGCACGAAAGCGUGGGGAUCAAACA